GAUGAACGCUAGCGGGAGGCUUAACACAUGCAAGUCGAGGGGCAGCACGAGUCCGCCGCAAGGCGGAUUUGGUGGCGACCGGCGCACGGGUGAGUAACGCGUAUGCAACCUACCCUGUACAGGGGGAUAGCCCGGAGAAAUUCGGAUUAAUACCCCAUAAAGAUAUGAAGAGGCAUCUUUUUAUAUUUAAAGUUUCGACGGUACGGGAUGGGCAUGCGUGACAUUAGCUAGUUGGUAGGGUAACGGCCUACCAAGGCUACGAUGUCUAGGGGUCCUGAGAGGGUGAUCCCCCACACUGGUACUGAGACACGGACCAGACUCCUACGGGAGGCAG
RNAcentral lists this ribosomal RNA (334 nucleotides) under uncultured Bacteroidota bacterium. Its description in RNAcentral is "bacterial SSU rRNA". It matches the Rfam family "Bacterial small subunit ribosomal RNA", at positions 28 to 351 of the family's 1533-position model. The record is from RNAcentral. Lineage: Bacteria; Pseudomonadati; Bacteroidota.